UCUUGUAGCUGGUUCCCUCAGAAUAACUGGCUCCCAGAAGUCCAAUCUCAUCUGUUAAAGCGAAUGAUUAGAUACACUGGAGCCGAAACAACUCAACCUAUUCUCAAAUGUUCAACUGUUGAAAAUUCCUUGUGCUUCGGUGAACCAGGAUGACGAAGGAGAGUAUCCAGAGGGCCUCAUUUGGUGCGCAGGACUGGCGCCUCGGAAUGAAUCAAACACUGGGUUACUGUGCCUGAUGCAAGACGCUCGUGAGAUCCUAUGUUAGGUGUUGGUUGCUCUUGAAAACAGGAUGUUGGCCAUGGAAGUCGGAAUUCUCUAAGAGUGUUAUAACUCACCUGAUGAAGCAAUUAGCUCUAAAAUGGAUGAUACACUUAUUUGUCUGAGGGACUUAGGAUGGCAGUGAGAAGGAGGACGAAGAGUUCGUCGCGACGGAGAGUUCGAAGGCACAGGAGUAAGCCUGUCUAAAGCCUCCAUCGGUGCAGACCUUGGGGUAGUAGCAAAUACUCAAAUAUGAACCUUGAGGACGGAGAAGGGUUCCAUGUGAGCAGGUGUUGAACGUGGGUGAGUCGACCCUUAGGGAUCAGCGAGAUCCGUAACAAAAACGAGACCUUAUCGAUUUCUGAAUUUGUAUCGAUACAGAACAAUAGGGAAUCGGUUUAAAAGUCCCAGAAAUGUAGAUUGAGAUUCUGACCCUGAUCGUGGUAACGCAAACUGAGGUAUCCGUCAAGGAACCGGGGAAGAGUGUUUUUCAUAAGAGAUAAAGAUAGGAUCUCAAAGGAACGAGAAUGUAAGCGACGUUUCUACCGGCCCUUGCAAAUCUGAGAGAUAGAGUAUGAUUUUCGGGCCAAUCCGUAUCUCUAACCUCAG
Non-coding RNA from Nephila pilipes (giant wood spider), 867 nucleotides. NCBI's taxonomy places the organism in Eukaryota, Metazoa, Arthropoda, Arachnida, Araneae, Nephilidae. The record is from the annotation of a GenBank genome assembly.